UAAUACAGAGGUGGCAAGCGUUGUUCGGAAUUACUGGGCGUAAAGGGCGCGUAGGCGGUCUUUUAAGUUCCGUGUGAAAUCCCUCGGCUCAACUGGGGAACUGCACGGGAAACUGGAAGGCUUGAGUUCGGGAGAGGGAAGCGGAAUUCCGGGUGUAGCGGUGAAAUGCGUAGAUAUCCGGAGGAACACCGGUGGCGAAGGCGGCUUCCUGGACCGACACUGACGCUGAGGCGCGAAAGCUAGGGGAGCAAACGGGAUUAGAUA
RNAcentral lists this ribosomal RNA (264 nucleotides) under uncultured bacterium. Its description in RNAcentral is "partial 16S ribosomal RNA". It matches the Rfam family "Bacterial small subunit ribosomal RNA", at positions 521 to 784 of the family's 1533-position model. The record is from RNAcentral.